RNAcentral lists this long non-coding RNA (260 nucleotides) under Dromaius novaehollandiae (emu). Its description in RNAcentral is "lncRNA (ENSDNVG00000011150.1)". The record is from RNAcentral. Lineage: Eukaryota; Metazoa; Chordata; Aves; Casuariiformes; Dromaiidae.
CCUUGGCAUCUAUUCAGUACAGUAAUCCAUGCAUNUUUUUUUUUUUUUUUUUUUUUUUUUUUGUUCCUCUCCCCUCUCAGGUUUAGCUGGUGGAUCACAUUGUGAAAUCUGCAGCCAUGAAAGGCCUUCCAUUUAUUGCAUCCUUCAAAACGAAAUAUUAGCAUGGGAGGCUAAGCUGGGAAUUAUGGAGUAGUGGCUUCAAGUUCCAGUUCACAGGAGACUCCGUGACAGUACAAGGAGAGCUGUCAAUAAGAAAUGGU